CAGUCGCCACGGGAAUACGAAGGGUGCAAGCGUUAAUCGGAAUUACUGGGCGUAAAGCGUGCGUAGGUGGUGGUUUAAGUCCGUUGUGAAAGCCCUGGGCUCAACCUGGGAAUUGCAGUGGAUACUGGGUCACUAGAGUGUGGUAGAGGAUAGUGGAAUUUCCGGUGUAGCAGUGAAAUGCGUAGAGAUCGGAAGGAACAUCUGUGGCGAAGGCGACUAUCUGGGCCAACACUGACACUGAGGCACGAAAGCGUGGGGAGCAAACAGGAUUAGAUACCCCAGUAGUCCCUGUCUCUUAUAC
Molecule: ribosomal RNA, 301 nt
Filed under: uncultured bacterium
Lineage: Bacteria
Description: partial 16S ribosomal RNA
Rfam family: Bacterial small subunit ribosomal RNA
Source: RNAcentral